RNAcentral lists this ribosomal RNA (393 nucleotides) under Lepadichthys lineatus (doubleline clingfish). RNAcentral describes it as "partial 16S ribosomal RNA". It matches the Rfam family "Bacterial large subunit ribosomal RNA", at positions 1962 to 2502 of the family's 2925-position model. Lineage: Eukaryota; Metazoa; Chordata; Actinopteri; Blenniiformes; Gobiesocidae. The record is from RNAcentral.
UAAUCACUUGUCUUUUAAAUGAGGACCUGUAUGAAUGGCAAAACGAGGGCUUAACUGUCUCCCCCUUUUAAUCAAUGAAAUUGAUCUCCCCGUGCAGAAGCGGGGUUUUCUCCAUAAGACAAAAAGACCCUGUGGAGCUUUAAACACAAGAGAGGAGUGCCCAAAACUCGUUUCAUUAAUUUACUAGACUAAGCACCUUAACCCCUCUCUACUGUUUUCGGUUGGGGCGACCGCGGUGUAAUAAAUAACCCCCGCGAGGACAAGAACCACUGUUUCUAUAAGAAAGACCCACAAUUCUUCCACACAAAUUUUUUGACCACUGGAUCCGGCAAAUAGCCGAUUAACGAACCAAGUUACCCCAGGGAUAACAGCGCAAUCCCCUCCCAGAGCCCA